RNAcentral lists this long non-coding RNA (257 nucleotides) under Lathyrus oleraceus (garden pea). RNAcentral's name for it is "Pisum sativum (pea) long non-coding RNA (PSAT_LNC017006)". The record is from RNAcentral. Lineage: Eukaryota; Viridiplantae; Streptophyta; Magnoliopsida; Fabales; Fabaceae.
UUCAAGGUAAACAGAGAUUGAAUACCAAAAGAACCUGAGAAUUUGUACUCUGUAGGUGACGAAUCAAGGAAAGCGGGGCCAUUUACCGAUGGCGACUUCAAAACAAAACUGAUAUUUACCGAUAUCAAGGAAAGCGAGGCCAUUUACCGAUGGCGACUUCAAAAGCAAAUUGAUAUUUAUCGAUAUCAAGGAAAGCGAGGCCAUUUACCGAUGGCGGCUUCACUGGGGAGGAACAAGAUGUUUACAAGUGAAACAAG